AAUCAACGCUGGCGGCGUGCCUAACACAUGCAAGUCGAACGCGAAAGCCCCGCAAGGGGUAAGUAGAGUGGCAAACGGGUGAGUAACACGUGGGUGAUCUGCCUCGGAGUGGGGGAUAACGACCCGAAAGGGUCGCUAAUACCGCAUAACAUCCUGCCUUUGGAUAGGCGGUGAUCAAAGUUGGGGAUUCGCAAGAACCUGACGCUUGGAGAGGAGCCCGCGGCCGAUUAGCUAGUUGGGAGGUAACGGCUCACCAAGGCAACGAUCGGUAUCCGGCCUGAGAGGGCGGACGGACACACUGGGACUGAGACACGGCCCAGACUCCUACGGGAGGCAGCAGUGGGGAAUUGUUCGCAAUGGGCGCAAGCCUGACGACGCAACGCCGCGUGGAGGAUGAAGAAUUUCGGUUCGUAAACUCCUUUGAUCGGGAAGAACAGCUUUCGGGUGAAUAGCCUGGAUGCCUGACGGUACCGAGAGAAGAA
Molecule: ribosomal RNA, 482 nt
Filed under: uncultured bacterium
Lineage: Bacteria
Description: bacterial SSU rRNA
Rfam family: Bacterial small subunit ribosomal RNA
Source: RNAcentral